UGCAGUCGAGCGGUAACAGGAGAAGCUUGCUUCUCGCUGACGAGCGGCGGACGGGUGAGUAAUACUUAGGAAUCUACCUAGUAGUGGGGGAUAGCACGGGGAAACUCGUAUUAAUACCGCAUACGACCUACGGGAGAAAGGGGGCAGUUUACUGCUCUCGCUAUUAGAUGAGCCUAAGUCGGAUUAGCUAGAUGGUGGGGUAAAGGCCUACCAUGGCGACGAUCUGUAGCUGGUCUGAGAGGAUGAUCAGCCACACCGGGACUGAGACACGGCCCGGACUCCUACGGGAGGCAGCAGUGGGGAAUAUUGGACAAUGGGGGAAACCCUGAUCCAGCCAUGCCGCGUGUGUGAAGAAGGCCUUUUGGUUGUAAAGCACUUUAAGCAGUGAAGAAGACUCCAUGGUUAAUACCCAUGGACGAUGACAUUAGCUGCAGAAUAAGCACCGGCUAACUCUGUGCCAGCAGCCGCGGUAAUACAGAGGGUGCAAGCGUUAAUCGGAAUUACUGGGCGUAAAGGGAGCGUAGGUGGCUCUAUAAGUCAGAUGUGAAAUCCCCGGGCUUAACCUGGGAACUGCAUCUGAAACUGUAGAGCUAGAGUAUGUGAGAGGAAGGUAGAAUUCCAGGUGUAGCGGUGAAAUGCGUAGAGAUCUGGAGGAAUACCGAUGGCGAAGGCAUCCUUCUGUCAUAAUACUGACACUGAGGCUCGAAAGCGUGGGUAGCAAACAGGAUUAGAUACCCUGGUAGUCCACGCCGUAAACGAUGUCUACUAGUCGUUGGGUCCCUUGAGGACUUAGUGACGCAGCUAACGCAAUAAGUAGACCGCCUGGGGAGUACGGCCGCAAGGUUAAAACUCAAAUGAAUUGACGGGGGCCCGCACAAGCGGUGGAGCAUGUGGUUUAAUUCGAUGCAACGCGAAGAACCUUACCUGGUCUUGACAUAUCUAGAAUCCUGCAGAGAUGCGGGAGUGCCUUCGGGAAUUAGAAUACAGGUGCUGCAUGGCUGUCGUCAGCUCGUGUCGUGAGAUGUUGGGUUAAGUCCCGCAACGAGCGCAACCCUUGUCCUUAGUUACCAGCGGGUUAAGCCGGGAACUCUAAGGAUACUGCCAGUGACAAACUGGAGGAAGGCGGGGACGACGUCAAGUCAUCAUGGCCCUUACGACCAGGGCUACACACGUGCUACAAUGGUAGGUACAGAGGGCAGCUACACAGCGAUGUGAUGCGAAUCUCAAAAAGCCUAUCGUAGUCCAGAUUGGAGUCUGCAACUCGACUCCAUGAAGUAGGAAUCGCUAGUAAUCGCGGAUCAGAAUGCCGCGGUGAAUACGUUCCCGGGCCUUGUACACACCGCCCGUCAC
This 1350-nucleotide ribosomal RNA is filed under the name Psychrobacter sp. Its description in RNAcentral is "bacterial SSU rRNA". It matches the Rfam family "Bacterial small subunit ribosomal RNA", at positions 56 to 1400 of the family's 1533-position model. The record is from RNAcentral. Lineage: Bacteria; Pseudomonadati; Pseudomonadota; Gammaproteobacteria; Moraxellales; Moraxellaceae.